This 554-nucleotide long non-coding RNA is filed under the name Homo sapiens (human). RNAcentral's name for it is "non-protein coding lnc-SYT1-3:2". Lineage: Eukaryota; Metazoa; Chordata; Mammalia; Primates; Hominidae. The record is from RNAcentral.
UGUGUGGGACCCCACUGAAAAUUGGACUGUUCAACUCACCUGGCAGCCACUCCCAAAGCCCCUGGAACUCUGGCCCAACGCUCUCUGACUGACUCCUUCCCAGAUCUUCUCGGCUUAGCGGCUGAAGACUGACACUGCCGGAUCACCUCGGAAGCCCCCUAGACCAUCAUGGACGCCGAGCUUCAGGUAACUCUCACAGUGGAAGGUGGUUUUCAUGGAGACAAAAGGUGGAGAAGGACAGUCCCGUGAAGUGGAUGCAACAGUUGAAGGUAACAGUAAGUCUUCAUCAAGAGCCAGACAUGCCUUAGAAUAACAGCAGGUGAAGAGAGAAAAAGUACAGGAAAACAAACAAGGAUGGAAGUAUGGUACAGGAGGGUGCACAGUGAAUAGAAGAAAAUGCUAUGGAAGACUACUCCUCACCGAGCAAAACCCGACUAGGUGGAACGUGGACUGAAGGUGGAGAUGAAUUCAAGAGUUUUACGGAGGGCACCUGUCACCUAAUCACAGCGCCAACGACGCUACCAAGAAAGCAUCAUGGCCUUUUCUUUUACAGG